GGUUCCAUAGUCUAGUGGUUAUCAUGACUGCUUUACACACAAAAGGUCCAGGGUGCGAGUCUCAGUGGAACCA
Megalops atlanticus (tarpon) is the source of this 73-nucleotide non-coding RNA. NCBI's taxonomy places the organism in Eukaryota, Metazoa, Chordata, Actinopteri, Elopiformes, Megalopidae. The record is from the annotation of a GenBank genome assembly.